Molecule: ribosomal RNA, 497 nt
Filed under: uncultured bacterium
Lineage: Bacteria
Description: partial 16S ribosomal RNA
Rfam family: Bacterial small subunit ribosomal RNA
Source: RNAcentral
GAUGAACGCUGGCGGCGUGCCUAAUACAUGCAAGUCGAGCGAACGGACGAGAAGCUUGCUUUUCUGAUGUUAGCGGCGGACGGGUGAGUAACACGUGGAUAACCUACCUAUAAGACUGGGAUAACUUCGGGAAACCGGAGCUAAUACCGGAUAAUAUUUUGAACCGCAUGGUUCAAAAGUGAAAGACGGUCUUGCUGUCACUUAUAGAUGGAUCCGCGCUGCAUUAGCUAGUUGGUAAGGUAACGGCUUACCAAGGCAACGAUGCAUAGCCGACCUGAGAGGGUGAUAGGCCACACUGGAGCUGAGACACGGUCCAGACGCCUACGGGAGGCAGCAGUAGGGAAUCUUACGCAAUGGGCGAAAGCCUGACGGAGCAACGCCGCGUGAGUGAUGACGGUCUUCGGAUCGUAAAACUCUGUUAUUAGGGAAGAACAUAUGUGUAAGUAACUGUGCACAUCUUGACGGUACCUAAUCAGAAAGCCACGGCUAACUACGUG